This is a non-coding RNA of Arachis ipaensis, 2020 nucleotides long. NCBI's taxonomy places the organism in Eukaryota, Viridiplantae, Streptophyta, Magnoliopsida, Fabales, Fabaceae. The record is from RefSeq and is a predicted model, not a curated record.
AUAACCCAAAAGAAAAAGACCCACUUAUUUCUCUUUCUGUGAAACCAAAGAGAAACCUAACCCUAAAUCUAUCCACCAUCACCAUCCCUCAUCGCCGAACACUUCUCCUCCGGUAAAGGGUGCUAUCGCCGCUGGCGGACAAACCGUUGGUGUCGUCGCAUUCCUCGAUCUCAUUGCUGAACUCUUUUCAGUUCUCAUCUUUCCUCUUCUCGUCGUCGUCGCACGAAUGAAGCAUUGACUUCGUGGCAUCGCCGUCGCGAAGGUUGCUCGGUCGAUCAUCGUGUCUCUGAGCUCUCUCUCCUCCCGAGGUUAACAUGCCUCUUCGAGUGCUCUAUCACUCUCUGUCCGAGCUCAUUCCCCUUCCUCCGUUGCCGUCACUUUCGAUUCCUCCGUCGCUGUUAGUUAUCUUCCUCCUUCGCCGCUGGCAAUUUGCUCAACGUUCACGAGUCUGUAAACUUCAAUACAUAGCUGAAUUAGAAAGAAAUGUACAAGGUUUACAGGCAGAAGGAUCUGAAGUAUCUGCCAAGCUUGAAUUUCUUAACCAAGAGAAUCUCAUCCUGAGUAUGGAGAACAAAUCUCUCAAGCAACGGUUAGAAAGUUUAGCAUAAGAGCAGCUUAUCAAAUAUUGUAAGUUUCUACCAUUGAACAUAAGCUAAUAGGUCUUAUUGUAAGUUGGAAUUUGGAAGUCAUUUGUUUAUUGGUGUACCAAUCUAAAUACCUGCAUUUUGAGGGAGUGCUUAUAUAUUCACUCAUAUACAACUAAGGAAAUUCUUGGAAUGUUAUGCUGCAUUUUGAUUAUCUAUUUUAUGCUGCAUCUUUAUUCAACCGGUGUUGCAUCGCAUGUCACCAAAUUGCACUCUCUCACUCUGCAGGAUUGUGCAGAGAUUUCCAGUGUAUGCCCUUCUCUUUAUCUAGUUACUUGUUGACAUGGAAGCACAAAGUGAACUCCUGAAUAAUUCGAUUUUGCUUUGUCUUUUUGGAUUUUAUGAGUUUGGUUUUUGGAUCCUGUGUUUGGAAUAUGCAUAAACUUACCAUGCACUUUUCUGUUCUCAAAGGCAUAGGUCUUAUUAUUGAAGUUUUGAUAAAGGAAAAAGAAAAUGGCUUCAAGAUUAGGUAGUGAUGAUGAUGCUGAUAAUAACAAAGGUAGCAUGUGUACUUUGGAGCAAAAGCUGAAUCAGCUAAUGGAUGAAGAAGCUGCAAGGCUAAAAAAUAUGUACAGAGAAAAAACGGAAGAUAUUGAAGGUGGAACUCAUAAGCCAAAGUUUCAAACCGAUCUUACUCUACCAAUAUAUCUAAAGGGAACGAUUAUUGAAGCUUCAUUAUAUCAAUCAUUGAUCAACGCCACCAAUAAGCUAGCAAUAUAAGCAUGAUCAGUUCAGUGAUGUGACAUAUAAGGUAGUGAUGAAAGGAAUGACAACAAGUGAGGAGAAUGAUAUACUGAAAAGGUAUAACUGGUUGUGUGAGUCUAGGGGAAGUUUUGGCAUUGAUGGGACCCUCAGGAAGUGGAAAAACAUCACUGCUGAAUCUUUUUGGAGGAAGAAUAACUCAUCACCAUAAUGUUGGUGGAUCUAUCACCUACAAUGACCAGCCUUAGAAAUUUUUGGUAUCCUUUGAGUAGUUGCUGAGUCAAUUAUGUUUGCAAGAGCUAUUCUGCAUUGAAUUUAUGUGAACAAACUUCAUUGAAUUGUGAUGGUUUAUGGAGAACCAUUUUUUUAUGCUUGCAAUCGAUAUGAGGCAAAAAAACAAGAGGGAGUGUAUGAUGAAACUGAAAGAAGAGAAAUGGCAAAGAAUUCAUUGGAGAGGUACACGCAUUAUUAUGAGCGAUGGGCCAGCAAUCAAUCCUCGAGGCAAAAAGCUCUUGCAGAUCUACACCAGAUGCAAACUGUUCAUGUAUGUUACAUAACAUUUGCUAUAUUUUGCAUUAGCUUGUAUCUACCUUUUGCAACUCUUUCAGAAAGAAUGGUAUAUAAGAUUGCACAUGUUUCUUUUUAGUAGUACAUGUUGCUGCUUUUGUAGUUCA